Molecule: ribosomal RNA, 57 nt
Rfam family: Eukaryotic small subunit ribosomal RNA
UGGAAGGGUGAAAGCGUAACAAGGUCUCCGUAGGUGAACCUGCGGAAGGAUCAUUUA